RNAcentral lists this ribosomal RNA (701 nucleotides) under Pediococcus acidilactici. RNAcentral describes it as "bacterial SSU rRNA". It matches the Rfam family "Bacterial small subunit ribosomal RNA", at positions 56 to 713 of the family's 1533-position model. Lineage: Bacteria; Bacillati; Bacillota; Bacilli; Lactobacillales; Lactobacillaceae. The record is from RNAcentral.
UGCAAGUCGACGAACUUCCGUUAAUUGAUUAUGACGUACUUGUACUGAUUGAGAUUUCAACACGAAGUGAGUGGCGAACGGGUGAGUAACACGUGGGUAACCUGCCCAGAAGUAGGGGAUAACACCUGGAAACAGAUGCUAAUACCGUAUAACAGAGAAAACCGCAUGGUUUUCUUUUAAAAGAUGGCUCUGCUAUCACUUCUGGAUGGACCCGCGGCGUAUUAACUAGUUGGUGAGGUAAAGGCUCACCAAGGCAGUGAUACGUAGCCGACCUGAGAGGGUAAUCGGCCACAUUGGGACUGAGACACGGCCCAGACUCCUACGGGAGGCAGCAGUAGGGAAUCUUCCACAAUGGACGCAAGUCUGAUGGAGCAACGCCGCGUGAGUGAAGAAGGGUUUCGGCUCGUAAAGCUCUGUUGUUAAAGAAGAACGUGGGUAAGAGUAACUGUUUACCCAGUGACGGUAUUUAACCAGAAAGCCACGGCUAACUACGUGCCAGCAGCCGCGGUAAUACGUAGGUGGCAAGCGUUAUCCGGAUUUAUUGGGCGUAAAGCGAGCGCAGGCGGUCUUUUAAGUCUAAUGUGAAAGCCUUCGGCUCAACCGAAGAAGUGCAUUGGAAACUGGGAGACUUGAGUGCAGAAGAGGACAGUGGAACUCCAUGUGUAGCGGUGAAAUGCGUAGAUAUAUGGAAGAACACCAGU